GGCGUAAAGAGCUCGUAGGCGGUUUGUCGCUCGUCUCUGAAAUCCCGCAGCUCAACUGCGGGUUGCAGGCGAUACGGGCAGACUCGAGUACUGCAGGGGAGACUGGAAUUCCUGGUGUAGCGGUGAAAUGCGCAGAUAUCAGGAGGAACACCGGUGGCGAAGGCGGGUCUCUGGGCAGUAACUGACGCUGAGGAGCGAAAGCGUGGGUAGCGAACAGGAUUAGAUACCCUGGUAGUCCACGCCGUAAACGGUGGGCGCUAGGUGUGGGUUUCCUUCCACGGGAUCCGUGCCGUAGCCAACGCAUUAAGCGCCCCGCCUGGGGAGUACGGCCGCAAGGCUAAAACUCAAAGGAAUUGACGGGGGCCCGCACAAGCGGCGGAGCAUGUGGAUUAAUUCGAUGCAACGCGAAGAACCUUACCUGGGUUUGACAUGUACCGGACGACUGCAGAGAUGUGGUUUCCCUUGUGGCCGGUAGACAGGUGGUGCAUGGCUGAGAGUUGAGUCCCUUGUUUCCUGAGUUGUCC
This 524-nucleotide ribosomal RNA is filed under the name Rhodococcus sp. NG. RNAcentral describes it as "bacterial SSU rRNA". It matches the Rfam family "Bacterial small subunit ribosomal RNA", at positions 557 to 1077 of the family's 1533-position model. The record is from RNAcentral. Lineage: Bacteria; Bacillati; Actinomycetota; Actinomycetes; Mycobacteriales; Nocardiaceae.